ACUUGGAUAACCGUAGUAAUUCUAGAGCUAAUACAUGCAUUAAAUCUGGACUGUUAUGGAAGAGAUGUAUUUAUUAGAUAUCAACCAACCCUCUUCGGAGGUUUUAGGUGAGUCAUAAUAACUUUGCGAAUCGCAGCGACAUUUGUCGGCGAUGAAUCAUUCAAGUUUCUGCCCUAUCAGCUUUCGAUGGUAGUGUAUUGGACUACCAUGGCGGUGACGGGUAACGGAGAAUUAGGGUUCGAUUCCGGAGAGGGAGCCUGAGAGAUGGCUACCACAUCCAAGGAAGGCAGCAGGCGCGUAAAUUACCCAAUCCCAAUUCGGGGAGGUAGUGACAAUAAAUAUCAAUGCGGGGCCCUUCGGGUCUUGCAAUUGGAAUGAGUACAAUUUAAAUCCCUUAACGAGGAUCCAUU
Molecule: ribosomal RNA, 410 nt
Filed under: uncultured picoeukaryote
Lineage: Eukaryota
Description: SSU rRNA
Rfam family: Eukaryotic small subunit ribosomal RNA
Source: RNAcentral